CAGUAGCCGCGGUAAUACGUAGGUGGCAAGCGUUGUCCGGAAUUAUUGGGCGUAAAGGGCUCGCAGGCGGUUUCUUAAGUCUGAUGUGAAAGCCCCCGGCUUAACCGGGGAGGGUCAUUGGAAACCGGGAAACUUGAGUGCAGAAGAGGAGAGUGGAAAUCCACGUGUAGCGGUGAAAUGCGUAGAGAUGUGGAGGAACACCAGUGGCGAAGGCGACUCUCUGGUCUGUAACUGACGCUGAGGAGCGAAAGCGUGGGGAGCGAACAGGAUUAGAGACCCCCGUAGUCCCUGUCUCUUAUAC
Molecule: ribosomal RNA, 301 nt
Filed under: uncultured bacterium
Lineage: Bacteria
Description: partial 16S ribosomal RNA
Rfam family: Bacterial small subunit ribosomal RNA
Source: RNAcentral